This 838-nucleotide small RNA is filed under the name Pongo abelii (Sumatran orangutan). RNAcentral describes it as "retained intron". Lineage: Eukaryota; Metazoa; Chordata; Mammalia; Primates; Hominidae. The record is from RNAcentral.
CACCUGAAAGGCCGCGAAAUCGGCAUGUGGUACGCGAAGAAACAGGGGCAGAAGAACAAGGAAGCGGAGAGGCAAGAGAGAGCUGUAGUACACAUGGAUGAACGACGAGAAGAACAAAUUGUACAGUUACUGAAUUCUGUUCAAGGGAAGAAUGAUAAAGAGUCGGAAGCACAAAUAUCCUGGUUUGCUCCUGAGGAUCAUGGAUACGGUACUGAAGUUUCUACUAAGAACACACCACGCUCAGAGAAGAAACUUGACAUCCAGGAAAAGAAGUUGAUAAACCAAGAAAAAAAAAAGUUUAGAAUCAGGAACAGAUCAUAUAUUGACCGAGAUUCUGAGUAUCUCUUGCAAGAAAAUGAACCAGAUGGAACUUUAGACCAAAAAUUAUUGGAAGAUUUACAAAAGAAAAAAAAUGACCUUCGGUAUAUUGAAAUGCAGGUAGUAGAAAGAUGUCAAAAAAUAUUUUGUCAUUUUUUUCUUACACUUGAUAAAAAUGUACGUAUGGUUAGAGGUAGCUGCAUGGCAUAGAUCAGUGAGAUCCUCAACAAGACAUCCUCUGUGGGAAUUACUUUCUUUUCGAAUGGUAGAGAAAAGCAGUGGGAAUGGAAGUUACACAUAACCUACAGUAUCUUAUCUCAUCCACAGAAGCGUAUGUGGUGAGAAGAAAUGUUUGAGAAAUGCUAGUGCCAAUGGAAAAAAAAACUUACUCUUCAGCUUUUCUAGGCCAGUUUAGUGAGGUGCCAUGUGCAGUAAAGGCAGUUAAAAUUGUAAAGCUUGUUCCAGAUUACUUAAUACAUCUCCUUCUUUUUAUAGAUGAUAAAAUUAAAUAUUUCAAAAA